Non-coding RNA from Heterocephalus glaber (naked mole-rat), 467 nucleotides. NCBI's taxonomy places the organism in Eukaryota, Metazoa, Chordata, Mammalia, Rodentia, Bathyergidae. The record is from RefSeq and is a predicted model, not a curated record.
UCUGGCUAAGUUGCCCUGGACAGGCUAGAGCUUGGAAGCCUCCUGCCUCAGCCUCCCGGAUUGCUGGGAUGACAGGCGUGCAACGCCCCAGCUGGCUUUAUUUUACUUAAAGUCAGUGAGUUGAUAACAGGAGUGACUCAGUCCCUGAGUGAUUUGGGGCCACGGAACAAAUCUUCAGGUGGACACCGUGUGCUAAAGAGCUUAGCUGAGAGAGAAGACACCUUAACCGCCUAUGUUUGCAUAGCAAAAACCAUUGUGUCUCUGCAUGGGGGAAGCUGGCUUAUAUUCCACCCAUCAAAGUCCCUUUUACUUUUGAGGAAGAAAAAAAAAAAUAAUAAUAAAGUGCUGAAUUGGCUGGAGAAGCUGCUAUCCCUCGGUACCUGUGGGGAAAUGAAUGUGAAAAUCCAGGGAUGCUGAAAACCUCUGGAUAAAAGGGUCUAUUUGCAUAAAGCAGUGAUUUGCAUACA